This 703-nucleotide ribosomal RNA is filed under the name Nostoc sp. 2.5. Its description in RNAcentral is "bacterial SSU rRNA". It matches the Rfam family "Bacterial small subunit ribosomal RNA", at positions 38 to 785 of the family's 1533-position model. The record is from RNAcentral. Lineage: Bacteria; Bacillati; Cyanobacteriota; Cyanophyceae; Nostocales; Nostocaceae.
GGCGGUAUGCUUAACACAUGCAAGUCGAACGGUGUCUUCGGACAUAGUGGCGGACGGGUGAGUAACGCGUGAGAAUCUAGCUUCAGGUUUGGGACAACCACUGGAAACGGUGGCUAAUACCGAAUGUGCCGAGAGGUGAAAGGCUUGCUGCCUGAAGAUGAGCUCGCGUCUGAUUAGCUAGUAGGUGGGGUAAGAGCCUACCUAGGCGACGAUCAGUAGCUGGUCUGAGAGGAUGAUCAGCCACACUGGGACUGAGACACGGCCCAGACUCCUACGGGAGGCAGCAGUGGGGAAUUUUCCGCAAUGGGCGAAAGCCUGACGGAGCAAUACCGCGUGAGGGAGGAAGGCUCUUGGGUUGUAAACCUCUUUUCUCAGGGAAGAAGACAAUGACGGUACCUGAGGAAUCAGCAUCGGCUAACUCCGUGCCAGCAGCCGCGGUAAUACGGAGGAUGCAAGCGUUAUCCGGAAUGAUUGGGCGUAAAGCGUCCGCAGGUGGCUGUGUAAGUCUGCUGUCAAAGAGCGAAGCUCAACUUCGUAAAGGCAGUGGAAACUACACGGCUAGAGUGCGUUCGGGGCAGAGGGAAUUCCUGGUGUAGCGGUGAAAUGCGUAGAGAUCAGGAAGAACACCGGUGGCGAAGGCGCUCUGCUAGGCCGCAACUGACACUGAGGGACGAAAGCUAGGGGAGCGAAUGGGAUUAGAUAC